ACCCGCUGAACUUAAGCAUAUCAAUAAGCGGAGGAAAAGAAACCAACAGGGAUUGCCCCAGUAACGGCGAGUGAAGCGGCAACAGCUCAAAUUUGAAAUCUGGCCUCACGGUCCGAGUUGUAAUUUGCAGAGGAUGUUUCUGGCAAGGUGCCUUCCGAGUUCCCUGGAACGGGACGCCAUAGAGGGUGAGAGCCCCGUCCGGUUGGUCGCCGCGCCUAUGUGAAACCCCUUCGACGAGUCGAGUAGUUUGGGAAUGCUGCUCUAAAUGGGAGGUAUACGUCUUCUAAAGCUAAAUACUGGCCAGAGACCGAUAGCGCACAAGUAGAGUGAUCGAAAGAUGAAAAGCACUUUGGAAAGAGAGUUAAAAAGCACGUGAAAUUGUUGAAAGGGAAGCGCUUGCAGCCAGACUUGCCUGUAGUUGCUCAUCCGGGUUUUUACCCGGUGCACUCUUCUAUAGGCAGGCCAGCAUCAGUUUGGGCGGUUGGAUAAAGGUCUCUGUCAUGUACCUCUCUUCGGGGAGAACUUAUAGGGGAGACGACAUGCAACCAGCCCGGACUGAGGUCCGCGCAUCUGCUAGGAUGCUGGCGUAAUGGCUGU
Molecule: ribosomal RNA, 597 nt
Filed under: uncultured fungus
Lineage: Eukaryota; Fungi
Description: eukaryotic LSU rRNA
Rfam family: Eukaryotic large subunit ribosomal RNA
Source: RNAcentral